GGGGAAUAUUGGACAAUGGGCGAAAGCCUGACCAGGCAAGGCCGCGUGGGUGAAGAAGUCCUUGGGAUGGUAAACAACUUAAGGUGGGGGGGAGGGGUUCUGGCUUAUAAUCAAGGAAUUUUACGGUACCGGCAGGAAUAGGCCCGGGUAACUUUGUGCCAGCAGCCGCGGUAAUACGAAGGGUGCAAGCGUUAAUCGGAAUUACUGGGCGUAAAGCGCGCGUAGGUGGUUCGUUAAGUUGGAUGUGAAAGCCCCGGGCUCAACCUGGGAACUGCAUCCAAAACUGGCGAGCUAGAGUAUGGCAGAGGGUGGUGGAAUUUCCUGUGUAGCGGUGAAAUGCGUAGAUAUAGGAAGGAACACCAGUGGCGAAGGCGACCACCUGGGCUAAUACUGACACUGAGGUGCGAAAGCGUGGGGAGCAAACA
Molecule: ribosomal RNA, 425 nt
Filed under: uncultured Pseudomonadaceae bacterium
Lineage: Bacteria; Pseudomonadati; Pseudomonadota; Gammaproteobacteria; Pseudomonadales; Pseudomonadaceae
Description: bacterial SSU rRNA
Rfam family: Bacterial small subunit ribosomal RNA
Source: RNAcentral